GUGCCAGCAGCCGCGGUAAUACGAAGGGGGCUAGCGUUGCUCGGAAUUACUGGGCGUAAAGGGAGCGUAGGCGGACUGUUAAGUUAGAGGUGAAAGCCCAGGGCUCAACCUUGGAAUUGCCUUUGAUACUGGCAGUCUUGAGUACGGAAGAGGUAUGUGGAACUCCGAGUGUAGAGGUGAAAUUCGUAGAUAUUCGGAAGAACACCAGUGGCGAAGGCGACAUACUGGUCCGUUACUGACGCUGAGGCUCGAAAGCGUGGGGAGCAAACAGGAUUAGAUACCCCGGUAGUCC
RNAcentral lists this ribosomal RNA (292 nucleotides) under uncultured bacterium. RNAcentral's name for it is "partial 16S ribosomal RNA". It matches the Rfam family "Bacterial small subunit ribosomal RNA", at positions 505 to 796 of the family's 1533-position model. The record is from RNAcentral.